Molecule: ribosomal RNA, 253 nt
Filed under: uncultured bacterium
Lineage: Bacteria
Description: partial 16S ribosomal RNA
Rfam family: Bacterial small subunit ribosomal RNA
Source: RNAcentral
UACGUAGGGUGCAAGCGUUGUCCGGAAUUAUUGGGCGUAAAGGGCUCGUAGGCGGUCUGUCGCGUCAGGAGUGAAAACUCGGGGCUUAACCCCGAGCCUGCUUCUGAUACGGGCAGACUAGAGGUAUGCAGGGGAGAACGGAAUUCCUGGUGUAGCGGUGAAAUGCGCAGAUAUCAGGAGGAACACCGGUGGCGAAGGCGGUUCUCUGGGCAUUACCUGACGCUGAGGAGCGAAAGUGUGGGGAGCGAACAGG